CGGAGGGAGCUAGCGUUAUUCGGAAUUACUGGGCGUAAAGCGCACGUAGGCGGCUUUGUAAGUAAGAGGUGAAAGCCCAGAGCUCAACUCUGGAAUUGCCUUUUAGACUGCAUCGCUUGAAUCAUGGAGAGGUCAGUGGAAUUCCGAGUGUAGAGGUGAAAUUCGUAGAUAUUCGGAAGAACACCAGUGGCGAAGGCGGCUGACUGGACAUGUAUUGACGCUGAGGUGCGAAAGACGUGGGAGGCAAACAGGAUU
RNAcentral lists this ribosomal RNA (255 nucleotides) under uncultured bacterium. RNAcentral's name for it is "partial 16S ribosomal RNA". It matches the Rfam family "Bacterial small subunit ribosomal RNA", at positions 526 to 779 of the family's 1533-position model. The record is from RNAcentral.